UGCAAGUCGAACGAGACUUCGGUCUAGUGGCGAACGGGUGAGUAACACGUGGGCAACCUGCCCCGAGCUCUGGGAUAACCCCGGGAAACCGGAGCUAAUACCAGAUACGACCCUCGAAGACAUCUUCGCGGGUGGAAAGUUUUUCGGCUCGGGAUGGGCCCGCGGCCUAUCAGCUUGUUGGUGGGGUAACGGCCUACCAAGGCGACGACGGGUAGCCGGCCUGAGAGGGCGACCGGCCACACUGGGACUGAGACACGGCCCAGACUCCUACGGGAGGCAGCAGUGGGGAAUAUUGCGCAAUGGGCGAAAGCCUGACGCAGCGACGCCGCGUGAGGGAUGAAGGCCUUCGGGUUGUAAACCUCUUUCAGCAGGGACGAAGCGAAAGUGACGGUACCUGCAGAAGAAGCACCGGCCAACUACGUGCCAGCAGCCGCGGUAAUACGUAGGGUGCAAGCGUUGUCCGGAAUUAUUGGGCGUAAAGAGCUCGUAGGCGGUCUGUCGCGUCGGCUGUGAAACCCUGGGGCUCAACCCCAGGCCUGCAGUCGAUACGGGCAGACUAGAGUCCGGCAGGGGAGACUGGAAUUCCUGGUGUAGCGGUGAAAUGCGCAGAUAUCAGGAGGAACACCGGUGGCGAAGGCGGGUCUCUGGGCCGGAACUGACGCUGAGGAGCGAAAGCGUGGGGAGCGAACAGGAUUAGAUACCCUGGUAGUCCACGCCGUAAACGUUGGGCGCUAGGUGUGGGGAACCUUCCACGUUCUCCGUGCCGCAGCUAACGCAUUAAGCGCCCCGCCCUGGGGAGU
RNAcentral lists this ribosomal RNA (800 nucleotides) under Frankiales bacterium. RNAcentral describes it as "bacterial SSU rRNA". It matches the Rfam family "Bacterial small subunit ribosomal RNA", at positions 56 to 881 of the family's 1533-position model. Lineage: Bacteria; Bacillati; Actinomycetota; Actinomycetes; Frankiales. The record is from RNAcentral.